GGCAGUGCGGCACAACGGGUAAGGAGUCGGUCUCGUAACCUGAGGGUCGCAGGUUCGAUUCCCCUGCCGUUGUAC
RNAcentral lists this transfer RNA (75 nucleotides) under Anguilla anguilla (European eel). RNAcentral describes it as "tRNA-OTHER". The record is from RNAcentral. Lineage: Eukaryota; Metazoa; Chordata; Actinopteri; Anguilliformes; Anguillidae.